This 756-nucleotide ribosomal RNA is filed under the name uncultured bacterium. RNAcentral describes it as "bacterial SSU rRNA". It matches the Rfam family "Bacterial small subunit ribosomal RNA", at positions 102 to 844 of the family's 1533-position model. The record is from RNAcentral.
ACGGGUGAGUAACACGUGGGUAACCUGCCCAUCAGAAGGGGAUAACACUUGGAAACAGGUGCUAAUACCGUAUAACACUAUUUUCCGCAUGGAAGAAAGUUGAAAGGCGCUUUUGCGUCACUGAUGGAUGGACCCGCGGUGCAUUAGCUAGUUGGUGAGGUAACGGCUCACCAAGGCCACGAUGCAUAGCCGACCUGAGAGGGUGAUCGGCCACACUGGGACUGAGACACGGCCCAGACUCCUACGGGAGGCAGCAGUAGGGAAUCUUCGGCAAUGGACGAAAGUCUGACCGAGCAACGCCGCGUGAGUGAAGAAGGUUUUCGGAUCGUAAAACUCUGUUGUUAGAGAAGAACAAGGAUGAGAGUAGAACGUUCAUCCCUUGACGGUAUCUAACCAGAAAGCCACGGCUAACUACGUGCCAGCAGCCGCGGUAAUACGUAGGUGGCAAGCGUUGUCCGGAUUUAUUGGGCGUAAAGCAAGCGCAGGCGGUUUCUUAAGUCUGAUGUGAAAGCCCCCGGCUCAACCGGGGAGGGUCAUUGGAAACUGGGAGACUUGAGUGCAGAAGAGGAGAGUGGAAUUCCAUGUGUAGCGGUGAAAUGCGUAGAUAUAUGGAGGAACACCAGUGGCGAAGGCGGCUCUCUGGUCUGUAACUGACGCUGAGGCUCGAAAGCGUGGGGAGCGAACAGGAUUAGAUACCCUGGUAGUCCACGCCGUAAACGAUGAGUGCUAAGUGUUGGAGGGUUUCCGCCCUUCAGU